CGUUUUCUUCUCCCUUUUCAAGAAUAAAAACCGUCAUCUUUCUCCUUUCAUCUUCAUUUCGUUAGAACCAAGAAAAAAGUUUGAAACAAACCAUAAAACCCAAAUCCAUCUUCUCCGAUCAUUCAUUUUCAUCUUCUCCGGUCCUGUAGCCUCUUCUCCGUUGCUAAAUCCGUUACAGAAAGCGAAAAAAUCCCUGUCCAGCUCUCAAUUCAUUUAUCUAACUUAAACUCUUGAUUUCAAUUUCAACUUCAGUUCAGUUUCAAUUUUUAACCUACCCUUAAAUCCAGUUUGAUCCUGAAUUAUUUCCAUCUUCUGCCAUGAAUAGAAGAGGAGGUAGAUCAGAAAGUAAACAGUGUUUAAAUCACGUAUCCAGUGAUUUUGUUGGUAAUACUAACGAGGAACGAUCUGCAUUGGUGGCUACAUCUUUGUCAGGUAAAAUUAGCAAAACUCGAGGAAAUAGUUUAAAUUUUGCUCAUAGAAAUGUUCACUCUAGAAUGGUUAAAAGUAGGAUUUCAAAAAAGAAGCUUGUUGCAGAUGAAAUUAUUUUUAUAAACAACGAGUCAUAUUCUGAGGCUUUAGUUGCGAUAACGGCCGGAUUUCCGUCUGACUCGUUAAAGGAUGAAGAAAUCGAAGCUGGAGUUGUUAGUGAAGAUGGAGGGACAGAAGUGUACAACUAUAUUUUACUUAGGAAUCACAUUAUCACGAAAUGGCGUGGAAAUGUGUCUAUCUGGCUGACUAAGGAUAUGUUUGUUGAUGUUAUACCUGAACAAUAUAGUGGAUUAUUAGAUUCUGCAUAUAACUACCUGUUAUCAUACGGGUACGUUAAUUUUGGGGUGACAUUGGCAAUUAAGGACAAGAUUCCAACUAGGCCAAGUAAGGGAAGAGUGAUCGUUAUCGGGGCAGGUCUUGCUGGGUUGGCGGCUGCAAGGCAACUGAUGUUGUUUGGAUUUGAGGUGAUUGUUUUGGAGGGACGAAAGCGUGCAGGUGGAAGGGUGUAUACAAAAAAGAUGGAAGGAGGGAAUAAAAUAGCAGCCGCUGACUUAGGAGGGAGUGUUUUGACAAGUACAUUAGGGAAUCCGCUGGGUGUGUUGGCUCGACAAUUGUCAUAUACACUUCAUACGGUGAGAGACCGAUGUCCACUCUAUCAUGCUGACGGAACGCCCGUAGACGAGUAUUUGGAUAAAAAAGUGGAGGUUGCUUAUAAUGAACUUUUGGAAAAGGCAAGCAAGGUCAGACAAGACUUAUCUCCGAUUAUUUCUCUUGGAGAGGCAUUGGAAACUUUGCGAAAGGAUUCUAGUGUUGCGAUGAAUGAUGAGGAGAUGAACUUGUUUAACUGGCAUUUGGCAAAUUUGGAAUAUGCAAAUGCAAGUUUGCUUUCAAAGCUUUCCUUAAGAUUUUGGGACCAAGAUGACCCCUAUGACAUGGGAGGGGAUCACUGCUUCUUGCCCGGUGGAAAUGGAAGAUUAAUUGAUGCAUUGGCCGAAAAUGUGCCUAUUAGUUUUGAAAAAACUGUGCAUACCAUUCGUUACGGUAGAGAUAGAGUGAAGGUGAUUACUGCGGGACAAGUAUUUGAGGGAGAUAUGGUAUUGUGCACGGUUCCUCUCGGAGUUCUAAAGCGUGGUUCUAUCAGUUUCUUUCCAGAGUUGCCUCAACGAAAGCUGGAUACAAUAAGAAGAUUGGGUUUUGGACUAUUAAACAAAGUUGCAUUGUUAUUCCCGUAUGUGUUUUGGGACUCCAACGUUGAUACAUUUGGUCAUGUUGCUGAUGAUUCUAAGCAUCGGGGGGAAUUCUUUCUGUUCUACAAUUAUGCAACUGUUUCUGGUGGCCCUUUAUUGUUAGCUCUAGUCGCAGGAAAAGCUGCACAUAGAUUUGAGAGAAUGACUCCUACUGAUGCAGUAACCAAAGUGCUUCAAAUUUUAAAAGGUAUAUAUGAACCACAAGGCAUUAACGUCCCAAAGCCCAUUCAAAUUGUAUUUACAAGCUGGGGUAGUGAUCCGUUCAGCUAUGGUUCCUACUCCAGUGUUGCUGUGGGUGCAUCAGGAGACGACUACGACAUUUUAGCAGAAACUGUGGGGGACGGAAGACUUUUCUUUGCUGGUGAGGCAACUACCAGGCACUAUCCAGCAACGAUGCAUGGAGCAUUUCUCACUGGACUUAGAGAAGCUGCAAAGAUGGCCCAUCACGCUAGUGUUAGAACAUCGCAUUUGCAGGCUGAGAAAAAAUAAUGAGAUAAGUUUCAACUUCUUUACGGAUCCCCAGAAAGGCUAAUAAAGUUGGCAAAGGCAAUGAAAGCACUUUAUCUAUUGGGAAUAUCAGAACUAAUGUAAUUGCGAGUUGCUUUAGCUCUACGCCUUUAGGCUUUGGCAAGUAAGAAAUUGACCCUUCUACUGGUUUGUGGUAAGGGAUCUCACUUCCUCCGAGUUUGAAAUUCUUGUAAUGGAAAUAUGGAUCUAUGCUUCCAUUCCUGAGAAAACUUCUUGCCCGAGCUUGCCUUAUCCAAAAAUCCCACUUUUUUAUAUCCAAAUGCUCAUCCAUUGGAUUUCCAUCAACUCGAAAACUAGAAUCAUCAGCAACAUGACCAAAUGUAUCAAUGUUGGAGUCCCAAAACACAUACGGGAAUAACAAUGCAACUUUGUUUAAUAGUCCAAAACCCAAUCUUCUUAUUGUAUCCAGCUUUCGUUGAGGCAACUCUGGAAAGAACCUGAUAGAACCACGCUUUAGAACUCCGAGAGGAACCGUGCACAAUACCAUAUCUCCCUCAAAUACUUGUCCUGCAGUAAUUACCUUCACUCUAUCUCUACCGUAACGAAUGGUAUGCACAGUUUUUUCAAAACUAAUAGGCACAUUUUCGGCCAAUGCAUCAAUUAAUCUUCCAUUUCCACCGGGCAAGAAGCGGUGAUCCCCUCCCAUAUCAUAGGAGUCAUCUUGGUCCCAAAAUGCUAAGGAAAGCUUUGAAAGCAAACUUGCAUUUGCAUAUUCUAGAUUUGCCAAAUGCCAGUUAAACAAGUUCAUCUCCUCAUCAUUCAUCGAAACACUAGAAUCCUUUCGCAAAGUUUCUAAUGCCUCUCCAAGAGAAAAUAAUCGGAGAUAUGUCUUGUCUGAUCUUGCUUGCCUUUUCCAAAAGUUCAUUAUAAGCAACCUCCACUUUUUUAUCCAAAUACUCGUCUACGGGCAUUCAGUCAGCAUGAUAGAGUGGACAUUCGUCUCUCACCGUAUGAAGUGUAUAUGACAAUUGUCGAGCCAACACACCCAGCGGAUUCCCUAAUGUACCUGUCAAAACACUCCCUUCAAAGUCAGCGGCUGCUAUUUUAUUCCCUCCUUCCAUCUUUUUUGUGUACACCCUUCCACCUGCACGCUUUUGUUCCUCCAAAACAAUCACCUCAAAUCCAAAUAACAUCAGUUGCCUUGCAGCCGCCAAUCCAGCAAGACCUGCCCCGAUAACGAUCACUCUUCCCUUACUUGGCCUAGUUGGAAUCUUGUCCUUAAUUGCCAAUGUCACCCCAAAAUUAACAUACGCGUACGAUAACAAGUAGUUAUUUGUAGAAUCUAAUAACCCACUAUAUCGUUCAUGUAUAAUGUCAACAAACAUAUCCUUUGUCACCCAGAUAGACACAUUUUCACGUCAUUUCGUGAUAAUGUGAUUCCUAAUUAAAAUAUAGUUAUACACUUCUGUCCCGCCACCUUCACUAACAACUCCAGCUUUGAUUUCUUCAUCCUUUAACGAGUCAGACGGAAAUCCGGCCGUUAACGCAACUAAAGCCUUAGAAUAUGACUCAUUGUUUAUACAAAUAAUUUCAUCUGAAACAAGCUUCUUUUUUGAAAUCCUACUUUUAACCAUUUUAGACUGAACAUUUCUAUGAGCAAAAUUAGAACUUUUUCCUCGAGUAUAGCUAAUUUUACCUGAGGAAGAUGUAGCCACCAAUGCAGAUUGUUCCUCGUUAGUAUUACCGACAAAAUCAUUGGAUACGUGAUUUAAACACUGUUUACUUUCUGAUCUACCUCCUCUUCUAUUCAUCGCAUGAGAUGGAAAUGAUUCAGAAUCAAACCGGAUUUAGGGGUAGGGUUAGAAUUUGGAACUGAACUGAAACUGGAAGUGAAAUUUUUGGGUUUAAGUUAGGCAAAUGGAUUGGGAAUCGGAGAGGAAUUUUGUCGACUCAAAUUCGAGCAUUGGUGAUAAGUUUUGUGUUGGUGUCACUGGCUCUACUUCUUCUAUUGGCUGGUGGGAGCACUAUCCAUGCUUCAAAUACUUCUGAAGAUGGCACAGGUACAUGUGCUUCGUCUCCCGGUGCAAAUCAUGGUGAUUGGUAAAAGGCAUUAUGGUAGAAGCACAAACUUUAUAUUUCUUGGCUCUUCUACGGUGAUUGGAAUCCGUUAUAGGUGUCUAUCAACUCUUUUGCUUAUUGUGUGCAGGAACUGUAUAUUUGAGCAGCUCUUUCGUUAUCUUAAGACGAAAGAAUUAUGUGCUGUAUUAUUGUGUGCUAUUGUGCAUGUAUUGUCAUGAGAAAGAUUUCACUAUUGCUAGCAGAGUAACAGGUGAAAAAGCGCCUUUUACAUAAAUGUACUCGAGCAGUUGCGUUAGGCCAAGUAGGUGUGCAGGUUCAGAUUUUCUUUGUUUAUUUCUGAGCAUUUCUCAGAUGAUAAAAGCUUCAGUCCUCUGUUUGAUUGCUUCCAUAUCAGGCGUCAACAUUCUGCCUCAGCAUAACAUCUAUCUUUGUUGAUAUCUUCAAAGGAUCUUUAUCCUCAUUGUUGAAUGCUCACAAAUCCAUAUUGCUCAAAAUGUUCAUGAGAUUCAGGAUUGAAACCAACAAUAGUCGCAGAAGCUUCCACUCCUGCAAGAAGAGAUCGAUUGAUGAUGUGCUAAUUCCUAUUGAGUCUUGCCAUAUGUAUGAUCUUUCUGGCACGCGCAUUAAGCAUGAGACAGAACUCCAGCAGAUGUAGAACUUUGCAGCCAAGCUGACAGUGCAUUUAAUUCUAAGGUUUGUUGUCCCAACCUGAAAAGGCUAUAUAUCAUUGGGCCUAACGGCAUAAGUGCUCUAUGGUCUCACCAACUGCCUAUUUCCGCAAACUUCAAAUGAGUGACAGUAUCAGAUUGUGGAAAAUUGAUGUCUCGAUCAGUGACCAGAGCUUUCUGAAUCAUUUGUUCAACACUCUGAGUUGGGCAAUGACGGAAUUUUCAGUUUCUACCUAUUUUGUACUAGUUAUAGGUAGUAUCUUGGUUUUUUGGGGUGCCGGUGUUGAAUAUCUUAACUGAGGGUGACUUUGGAUAAUGUCUUGCAAAGGUGUUGGAGUUUCAGCAGAGGAAAUGCAGUGUCAUAUUUGAUCUAUCCUGCAAUCUUGCAAGGAUUUUAGAAUUUUGUACCCAUGAGAUACCUCAAGCGUUUAUCUCUGGGGCAGAUACAAAUUUGCAAAGGCUGACUGAAGUGAUCGUCUUUAUACUAAACCACUUAAUUUCUGCAGCUGAUCAAGAACUUUUUGAGUCGCGUAAGGUUCCUCAAGUAUAUGCCUGUGAUGAGGCUAGACAUUGUUCUCCCUGAAAGUGAAGAAAGUUGUCUAGUCGCGUAAGGUUCCUUUACUAGCUGUUCUACGUAGGUUAACAUACACUGUGUUUGCGUUAUAAAGAUGUAUAGAAGUCUGGAAAUGUGACUUUCAUUAUAUUGUUCAUUGAGUGACUUAACUAUUGAGGCUGCAGUCUUUGUUUUGCCUCUGUAAUGUGAGGAUCAGGGAACCCAUUUCAACUAAUAGAAGUUCAACACAAUUGCUAUAUUGUAAGAUUGAAGCUUCCUCUU
This is a non-coding RNA of Solanum lycopersicum (tomato), 5786 nucleotides long. The record is from RefSeq and is a predicted model, not a curated record. Lineage: Eukaryota; Viridiplantae; Streptophyta; Magnoliopsida; Solanales; Solanaceae.